RNAcentral lists this ribosomal RNA (465 nucleotides) under uncultured bacterium. RNAcentral's name for it is "partial 16S ribosomal RNA". It matches the Rfam family "Bacterial small subunit ribosomal RNA", at positions 339 to 795 of the family's 1533-position model. The record is from RNAcentral.
CUACGGGAGGCUCCAGUGGGGAAUAUUGCGCAAUGGGGGAAACCCUGACGCAGCAACGCCGCGUGAGUGAAGAAGGCUUUCGGGUCGUAAAGCUCUGUCAAGCGGGAAGAACCGCUCCACGACUAAUAAUUGUGGGGUCUGACGGUACCGCUGAAGGAAGCACCGGCUAACUCCGUGCCAGCAGCCGCGGUAAUACGGAGGGUGCAAGCGUUAUUCGGAAUCAUUGGGUGUAAAGCGCGUGUAGGCGGCUUGGUAAGUCAGAUGUGAAAUCUCCGGGCUUAACUCGGAAAGUGCAUUUGAAACUGCCAGGCUUGAGUCCGGGAGAGGAAGGUGGAAUUCCCAGUGUAGAGGUGAAAUUCGUAGAUAUUGGGAGGAACACCGGUGGCGAAGGCGACCUUCUGGACCGAGACUGACGCUGAGACGCGAAAGCGUGGGUAGCAAACAGGAUUAGAUACCCUGGUAGUC